Molecule: non-coding RNA, 202 nt
Organism: Polynucleobacter sp.
Lineage: Bacteria; Pseudomonadati; Pseudomonadota; Betaproteobacteria; Burkholderiales; Burkholderiaceae
Source: Rfam
AGGAGCUUUUUCCUUCUAGAGCCCUAUAUGGCUGGGUAUUCAAGGGUUUACGAGCAGAAAUGGUAUGAUUACAGGGUUCGAAACUAAUUAAAUACCCUAGCGCUUAAAGACACUCACCUCCCGCCAAAAACAUCCUCGGGUUGGUCUUUUUUGAGGGUUUUGAGCGUCGGAUGGAGCAGGGACUGGAGAUGGUUUGUCACCC